Molecule: long non-coding RNA, 1581 nt
Organism: Sapajus apella (tufted capuchin)
Lineage: Eukaryota; Metazoa; Chordata; Mammalia; Primates; Cebidae
Exons: 4
Source: RefSeq, a predicted model, not a curated record
UCCAGGAGAGAGAUGGUGGCGGCCUGAACCAGGAUGGUAGCAGCGGAGGUGGUGAGAAGUGGCUGGAUUUUGGAUGUAUUAUGAAGGUGGAAGAGACAACAUUUGCCAAUAAGUUAGAUGCAGAGUGAAAGGGAAAGAUUCCUCAAGGGUGAUACUAAGGUUUUGAACCCGAACAGCACUAUAUAUCUGAAAUUCAAGGGAGAGAUUCCUAUUUACAGAGGAAAAAAGAGCAGAGAAUGGAACCCUGGGGAUUAGAGAAGGUUAUAAUCAGCAAAAGGAGACAGCAACUGAAUGGCAGGAAACCAUGAUUGCGUAGACUACUGAGAGUCAAGUGAAGGAACCGUUUCAAGAAGCGUCAGUUAUUUCAGCUGCAUCAAAGGCUGCUGAGAGGUUGAGCAAGGAAGCAAGACCAUGGGCUGAAAGUGAGGGGAGGGGAAAGGCAUUGGAGCUAUGAGAACAGACAUCUCUCCCAAGGCUAUUGUGAGCAUGAAAUGAUAUGACCCAAGUUCAAAGCCUGGAUCAUAGGAGGAAGUACUUAAAAAUGAACAGCAGUGGAGCGGGCUCCUGGUGGCUAAGCUGCCCUGCCUUUCCCACCUUCCCUAUGGUGGGGCGCGCCUUUGUGUCUACAUUCUCCCCACAGGCUUGUGAGCAGAAGUCAUCCAUGUCCCCAUGAGGCCAGCACAUAUAUCUUCUCCACUUGCUCCUCCACACUCUUCUCCUGCUUCCUACUUGUGAGAAUGGUGACCAGCAGAGCCACGCAGAAAGCCACAUGCCGAAGACAGAAGAGCUGCCAUCAGCCUGGGUCCCUGGCUAACGGUGGGAGGAUGGACUCCUGCCAAAGUGGGGCCUCUCCAUACUGUCAUGCGAGAGAAAUGCAAAACUGUAUACCAGUUAAGCCCCUGAGCUGUUACUAAACUUACUAAACGUACUUUCCUUUAAUGCACGGGGUUAACUGGUGUAACAUACCCAAAGAAUAGUGACCAAUGCUUGAACAUCAGCCUGGAAGGGGAACACGAGCAGCGUGCCGCAGGGUUCUGUUUUGAUGCUGACACACAUCAUUUAAGCGACAGCUCAGACAAGGCUGUGGAAGAUGUGCUUCUCAGAUUUAAAAAUGACACUAUGCUGAGAGGGAUAGCUGGUCAAAUUUUAAAAGAUUUCGACAAGUUAAAAAUAACAAGUGAUAUUUCCUAAGCAUUUAAUGUCAGUCAGGCUCUGGGUUAAAUGCUUUCCAAACAUGAUCUUGUUUAAUACUUAUGAUGAUCCUAUGAUGUAGAAAUAUUACCUCCCUUUCUGAGAUGGGAAAACAGAAACGUCAAGAGAUUAAGUAAGGAACUGGUAAAUGAUAGCACUGGGAUUUCAACCUGGAGUCUGUGGUUCUGACCACUUUGCUUAGGGUGGUCCUGGGUGUAGGUUGGUUUGGGCAGCCCUGGUUGUUUAUGUUGUCUCAAAAUAAUUGUUAAUAAUAAUAAUAACACCUGCUUUCAGUCUUAAAAUGGUCACAAUUUAUAUGAUAAAUUAUAUGAUCACUUUUGUGAUUCUGCCCAGUCUAAACCCUAUAAGAUAAAAUUCAAGAGAAAUCAC